UGGUCCUCAUUUAGGUUUUAGCUGUUGGA
This 29-nucleotide non-coding RNA is filed under the name Rattus norvegicus (Norway rat). The record is from RNAcentral. Lineage: Eukaryota; Metazoa; Chordata; Mammalia; Rodentia; Muridae.